Molecule: long non-coding RNA, 1823 nt
Organism: Gallus gallus (chicken)
Lineage: Eukaryota; Metazoa; Chordata; Aves; Galliformes; Phasianidae
Source: Ensembl
AUGACUUGUUGGAAAGGAUUCCCCAGGAGAAAGUGAAGAGCAGUGAUCUGGUCUAUGUAAGCCUCAGGCACAACGCGUAAUGCCUGAUUGUUCGGUGCAUCUUUGGGAACACAAAGGAUGUGUGACUUUGGAGACAGAUCCAAACAAAAUGCCUGCCAAGGAGAACAGAUAGCACAGAAGGUUUUGGCCCAUGACUGCUAUUUGCUAGGCGUUGAGUAAGGCAAAUAAUUCAGUCAGCAUGCCAGUGGAUCAUUUCCUCUACAAGGAGCCAACUGAGGAUGCUUGUGGUCAUCAGAUCUAUUGAAUCCAUAGCUAACAAUCAUUCUCAUCUCCUGAUUCUCUGUUAAUGUGCAAAGCGUGAUUGUGAGAACCAGUCUUCACAGCACGGAAGUCAGUGCCUUCAGAUACACAGGCAAAAGACCAAAGUGAAGUAGUCUGGGCAUGUGAAGGCAGGACUGUGAGUUUUAACAGCACAGAAAUAUCCUUCCUAGUCCUCUGAAAUUCUUACAGAACAGCAUUACAACCUUUUCUUAAUAAAAAUCUACCAUAGAUGCUUAACCUUUAACUCAUCUCACAAAUUUAAAAAAAAAAAAAAAACAACUGAAGUGCUUAUAACUGCAAACACAGCUAUUCUACUCAUACAGUGUAAAGAUCCCAAGAAAUGCCAAGAUUCUGCUCUGAUGUACCAGGAGUUCCUAAUGCCUCUGAAAGAGGUCAGGAGUUUACUUAGCCUCUUUGAGAAAGUGUUGGUUCCCUGCAGGACAAGGACUGCAUCCUCUUCUAUUAAGCCUGGAGUAGGAAAAAAUCCUAAACAAAACACCAGAUGUGAUUCUGGCAACUUGGUUUUACCCUCAGAUAACUUUGGACACUUCAGAUACUAUAUUUUUAUUUCAUUGCUCAUAUAAAAUCUGUCUAGAAAUGACAAAUAGUAACAUCCUACCUUUCUAAUGAAGUGUUUAUCUAUGUCCUUUCAAAUACUAUUUAUUUUUUGACUGCUUAUAGGCUUGUAUGAAAAGUUAAAGAAGAUCCAAGAUGAAUGUAUUUUAUGUCAAUACAGGAAAUUCAGCUGAAUGGUGUUUACGAGCGAUUUAUUAUAUAUCUUACAUAUUGAUCAUCACUGAUAAUUUAAAUGCAGUCUGUCUGGUGGCUUAGUAUGUUAAAAGACAGAUCAAAAGCUACCAUUUAAAGUAGCAGUUACUGGAAGACUUGGAGACAGUCCUCAGCCUGUGUAAAUCAUCACUGUUCUGCCAAUUUGAACGCAUCUACACCGAUUUACACAGCAGAGAAUCUAGUGUUCCACUUUUACAGAAACUUUUAAAAUGCAUGCAGUAGAUUGACUAUGGUUUAAUACUGCUAAUCCAGCUACCCUUGGUCUCUGUUUUCUCUUCUUAGACUUUGGAGAUACUGCGUGGGUAAGCAGCACUAAAGAGUUUUUCAAAGAAAUGGGCGGUAUUGAUUGGUAGAUGUUUUAAUGGCAUUCUGCAAAUACUGUACUCUGUUAACAGUCAUUUCAGCUAAUGUGUAAUAGCCCAAGCUCAGCACAGCAAUCCUGACACCAAUGAAAUUGUGAUGCUAUGGAACACAAGAAGGUGUAUGAGCACUGGUGCUACCUUUGAGGAAUUGAGGCCCGCUUUUUUUCGGUCUGUUUCUCAUGGGGUAGUUUACAAGAAGCAGUGUAGCAAAUAAGAAUUUCCAGAACUGUUUUGUUUUGUGGGAUUCAUUGUGGAAGAUGUUGGAUCUCAUUCAUAAUUUACUACCAAAACUCAUCUCCGUACAACGAAGAACUGUUUGUUCCAUGCUAUAUUAAAAGCAGAAGCCAAUGU